UACGGGGGGUGCGAGCGUUGUCCGGAAUCACUGGGCGUAAAGGGCGCGUAGGUGGCGUCGUAAGUUUGUGGUGAAAGCCCGGAGCUCAACUCCGGGUCUGCCGCGAAUACUGCGAGGCUUGAGUACUGGUAGAGGGGGGUAGAAUAUCGGGUGUAGCGGUGGAAUGCGUAGAGAUCCGAUAGAAGACCGGUGGCGAAGGCGGCAUCCUGGACCGGUAUUGACGCUGAGGAGCGAAAGCCAGGGAGCAAACGGG
RNAcentral lists this ribosomal RNA (253 nucleotides) under uncultured bacterium. RNAcentral's name for it is "partial 16S ribosomal RNA". It matches the Rfam family "Bacterial small subunit ribosomal RNA", at positions 524 to 776 of the family's 1533-position model. The record is from RNAcentral.